UUUGGAGAGUUUGAUCCUGGCUCAGGACGAACGCUGGCGGCGUGCUUAACACAUGCAAGUCGAGCGGAAAGGCCCUUCGGGGUACUCGAGCGGCGAACGGGUGAGUAACACGUGAGUAACCUGCCCCUGACUCUGGGAUAAGCCUGGGAAACUGGGUCUAAUACCGGAUACGACAUCUUCCGGCAUCGGAUGGAUGUAGAAAGUUUUUUCGGUCAGGGAUGGGCUCGCGGCCUAUCAGCUUGUUGGUGGGGUAGUGGCCUACCAAGGCGACGACGGGUAGCCGGCCUGAGAGGGCGACCGGCCAC
RNAcentral lists this ribosomal RNA (305 nucleotides) under Herbidospora solisilvae. Its description in RNAcentral is "bacterial SSU rRNA". It matches the Rfam family "Bacterial small subunit ribosomal RNA", at positions 1 to 311 of the family's 1533-position model. The record is from RNAcentral. Lineage: Bacteria; Bacillati; Actinomycetota; Actinomycetes; Streptosporangiales; Streptosporangiaceae.